This 402-nucleotide ribosomal RNA is filed under the name uncultured bacterium. RNAcentral's name for it is "bacterial SSU rRNA". It matches the Rfam family "Bacterial small subunit ribosomal RNA", at positions 127 to 522 of the family's 1533-position model. The record is from RNAcentral.
UGCCCAGUCGUGGGGGAUAACGCAGCGAAAGCUGUGCUAAUACCGCAUACGAUCCAAGGAUGAAAGCGGGGGACUCGCAAGGGCCUCGCGCGAUUGGAGCGGCCGAUGGCAGAUUAGGUAGUUGGUGGGGUAAAGGCUCACCAAGCCUGCGAUCUGUAGCUGGUCUGAGAGGACGACCAGCCACACUGGGACUGAGACACGGCCCAGACUCCUACGGGAGGCAGCAGUGGGGAAUUUUGGACAAUGGGCGCAAGCCUGAUCCAGCCAUUCCGCGUGCAGGAUGAAGGCCUUCGGGUUGUAAACUGCUUUUGUACGGAACGAAAAGGCUCUGGUGAAUACCCGGGCCUCAUGACGGUACCGUAAGAAUAAGCACCGGCUAACUACGUGCCAGCAGCCGCGGUA